Molecule: non-coding RNA, 29 nt
Filed under: Rattus norvegicus (Norway rat)
Lineage: Eukaryota; Metazoa; Chordata; Mammalia; Rodentia; Muridae
Source: RNAcentral
UCACACAGAAUAUUGCCCAGCCUACGUUG